CAGAAGGGACUGCCUUCCCCUCAGUGCUCGCCCCUCCCUAGUGAUCACUCAGUGCCCCUGAGCUCAUUCUUUUCAGUAAAUUCUCUCUCUGCGUGGUGAGAAAACAGGCCUGGAGAGGCUCUGCGACCCGCUUAGGACCACAGAACUCGAGAAUUACCUUUUCCAGGGACGGCAGGAAUGCUACGCGUUUAAUGGGACACAGCGCUUCCUGGAGAGAUACAUCUACAACCGGGAGGAGCUCGUGCGCUUCGACAGCGACGUGGGGGAGUUCCGGGCGGUGACGGAGCUGGGGCGGCCUGAGGCGGAGUACUGGAACAGCCAGAAGGACAUCCUGGAGGAGGAGCGGGCAGUGCCGGACAGGAUGUGCAGACACAACUACGAGCUGGGCGGGCCCAUGACCCUGCAGCGCCGAGUCCAGCCU
RNAcentral lists this unclassified non-coding RNA (421 nucleotides) under Homo sapiens (human). RNAcentral's name for it is "major histocompatibility complex, class II, DP beta 1 (ENSG00000215048.13)". Lineage: Eukaryota; Metazoa; Chordata; Mammalia; Primates; Hominidae. The record is from RNAcentral.